AGAUGGCACUACUGCUCAUAGUGAGGCUGCUGGAGUUUGACUAACACAUCAAUAUGGAUCUUAAGGAGCCCUUGUAGUGGAUGUUGGCGAUAGUUGGUCCAUUGUAGGAGUGGGAUAUGUAUCAAGAUGGGAUCUAUCAACCCUAAUAGAAAGGAGUAAUCCUAUGAGAUUUAAGAGGCUGAGUUCUUAAGUCUAUGGCCAUAGCAGUGUGAUUAAUG
RNAcentral lists this long non-coding RNA (218 nucleotides) under Elaeis guineensis (African oil palm). RNAcentral describes it as "long non-coding RNA (EGUI_LNC070756)". Lineage: Eukaryota; Viridiplantae; Streptophyta; Magnoliopsida; Arecales; Arecaceae. The record is from RNAcentral.